RNAcentral lists this long non-coding RNA (154 nucleotides) under Catagonus wagneri (Chacoan peccary). RNAcentral's name for it is "lncRNA (ENSCWAG00000020567.1)". Lineage: Eukaryota; Metazoa; Chordata; Mammalia; Artiodactyla; Tayassuidae. The record is from RNAcentral.
AAGGGGAAAGCCCAGAAAGAAAAGAAAAUAUUGAUAUUUAGGUUGAUCUACUUGGCCAGCCUGGUUACAGUAAAAGAAGAAUCAGCCAAAGGAAGUGAUUUAAGAUCCUCUGCAGGUAUAUGAGCAGCACUGCUUCUUUAACAAAAGUCUAGAC